This 569-nucleotide ribosomal RNA is filed under the name Marasmius sp. RNAcentral's name for it is "partial large subunit ribosomal RNA". It matches the Rfam family "Eukaryotic large subunit ribosomal RNA", at positions 76 to 631 of the family's 3401-position model. The record is from RNAcentral. Lineage: Eukaryota; Fungi; Basidiomycota; Agaricomycetes; Agaricales; Marasmiaceae.
UCCCCUAGUAACUGCGAGUGAAGAGGGAAAAGCUCAAAUUUAAAAUCUGGCAGCUCCGCUGUCCGAGUUGUAAUUUAGAGAAGUGUUACCCGCGCUGGACCGUGUAUAAGUCUCCUGGAAUGGAGCGUCAUAGAGGGUGAGAAUCCCGUCUUUGACACGGACUACCAGGGCAUUGUGGUGCGCUCUCGAAGAGUCGAGUUGUUUGGGAAUGCAGCUCUAAAUGGGUGGUAAAUUCCAUCUAAAGCUAAAUAUUGGCGAGAGACCGAUAGCGAACAAGUACCGUGAGGGAAAGAUGAAAAGAACUUUGGAAAGAGAGUUAAACAGUACGUGAAAUUGCUGAAAGGGAAACGCUUGAAGUCAGUCGCGUUGGCCGGGGAUCAGCCUUGCUUUUGUGAGGUGUACUUCCUGGUUAACGGGUCAGCAUCAGUUUCGACCAUUGGAAAAAGACUUGGGGAAUGUGGCACCUCCGGGUGUGUUAUAGACCCUUGUCGUAUACAGUGGUUGGGACUGAGGAACUCAGCACGCCGCAAGGCCGGGUUUCGACCACGUUCGUGCUUAGGAUGCUGGCA